Molecule: ribosomal RNA, 575 nt
Filed under: Salmonella enterica
Lineage: Bacteria; Pseudomonadati; Pseudomonadota; Gammaproteobacteria; Enterobacterales; Enterobacteriaceae
Also listed under: 1 other name
Description: partial 23S ribosomal RNA
Rfam family: Bacterial large subunit ribosomal RNA
Source: RNAcentral
AGACCCGAAACCCGGUGAUCUAGCCAUGGGCAGGUUGAAGGUUGGGUAACACUAACUGGAGGACCGAACCGACUAAUGUUGAAAAAUUAGCGGAUGACCUGUGGCUGGGGGUGAAAGGCCAAUCAAACCGGGAGAUAGCUGGUUCUCCCCGAAAGCUAUUUAGGUAGCGCCUCGUGAAUUCAUCUCCGGGGGUAGAGCACUGUUUCGGCUAGGGGGCCAUCCCGGCUUACCAACCCGAUGCAAACUGCGAAUACCGGAGAAUGUUAUCACGGGAGACACACGGCGGGUGCUAACGUCCGUCGUGAAGAGGGAAACAACCCAGACCGCCAGCUAAGGUCCCAAAGUCAUGGUUAAGUGGGAAACGAUGUGGGAAGGCCCAGACAGCCAGGAUGUUGGCUUAGAAGCAGCCAUCAUUUAAAGAAAGCGUAAUAGCUCACUGGUCGAGUCGGCCUGCGCGGAAGAUGUAACGGGGCUAAACCAUGCACCGAAGCUGCGGCAGCGACGCUGAUGCGUUGUUGGGUAGGGGAGCGUUCUGUAAGCCUGUGAAGGUGGCCUGUGAGGGUUGCUGGAGGUAU